RNAcentral lists this ribosomal RNA (255 nucleotides) under uncultured bacterium. RNAcentral describes it as "partial 16S ribosomal RNA". It matches the Rfam family "Bacterial small subunit ribosomal RNA", at positions 524 to 776 of the family's 1533-position model. The record is from RNAcentral.
UACGUAGGGUGCGAGCGUUAAUCGGAAUUACUGGGCGUAAAGCGUGCGCAGGCGGUUUUGUAAGUCAGAUGUGAAAUCCCCGGGCUUAACCUGGGAACUGCGUUUUGAAACUACAAGGCUAGAGUGUGGCAGAGGGGGGGUGGAAUUCCACGUGUAGCAGUGAAAUGCGUAGAGAUGUGGAGGAACACCGAUGGCGAAGGCAGCCCCCUGGGUUAACACUGACGCUCAGGCACGAAGGCGUGGGGAGCAAACAGG